This 336-nucleotide unclassified non-coding RNA is filed under the name soil metagenome. Its description in RNAcentral is "partial contains 5.8S ribosomal RNA, internal transcribed spacer 2, and large subunit ribosomal RNA". The stretch from base 1 to 120 matches the Rfam family "5.8S ribosomal RNA", at positions 35 to 154 of the family's 154-position model. The record is from RNAcentral.
GAUGAAGAACGCAGCGAAAUGCGAUAAGUAGUGUGAAUUGCAGAAUUCAGUGAAUCAUCGAAUCUUUGAACGCACAUUGCGCCCCUUGGUAUUCCAUGGGGCAUGCCUGUUCGAGCGUCAUUUGUACCUUCAAGCUUUGCUUGGUGUAGGGUGUUUGUCUCGCCUUUGCGUGUAGACUCGCCUUAAAAUAAUUGGCAGCCGGCGUAUUGAUUUCGGAGCGCAGUACAUCUCGCGCUUUGCACUCAUAACGACAGCGUCCAAAAGUACAUUUUACACUCUUGACCUCGGAUCAGGUAGGGAUACCCGCUGAACUUAAGCAUAUCAAUAAGCGGAGGA